UUCUGCCCUACGGGGAAGGAUGAGAAGCUUCGACUAAGGUUCGACUCGAGCGCCAGCGAGAGAACGUUGCCAAGGGCAACGGCCCGAAGGGCGAGGAGCGAUAGCGACGAGUUAUCCUUCCCCCACCACCA
RNAcentral lists this small RNA (131 nucleotides) under Klebsiella variicola. Its description in RNAcentral is "RtT sRNA". It matches the Rfam family "RtT RNA". From Rfam's summary of the family: This family represents a bacterial cis-regulatory element known as RtT RNA. The exact function of RtT is unknown although it is thought that it may be involved in changing the cellular response in relation to amino acid starvation. The record is from RNAcentral. Lineage: Bacteria; Pseudomonadati; Pseudomonadota; Gammaproteobacteria; Enterobacterales; Enterobacteriaceae.